This is a long non-coding RNA of Pseudopipra pipra, 1343 nucleotides long. RefSeq lists it as uncharacterized. The record is from RefSeq and is a predicted model, not a curated record. The transcript is spliced from 3 exons. Lineage: Eukaryota; Metazoa; Chordata; Aves; Passeriformes; Pipridae.
CUGGGAAUUUCUGGGCCGAGAGCCGUCAUGCUUCGUGCGGGACGUAGGUAUUGUGUGUGAGGUGGAAGCCAGGCUGAAGGCAACCAAAGGGAACAUCGCCUUGGUGGGACUGGAAGCGACUCCAGGCUGAGGAGCCCGGGGGAGCCAGAGCUGCGCGUCCCUGCGUCUCUGGCAGGGUCCUUAUCCCAGAAAGGUGUCGGGGCAACUUGCAGGGACAGAGCCGGGCCGAACACCUGUCAGAGGUCAGGCACGCACACAGACCUGGGCAGCCCGAGCGCCGCCGCCUUCUCCCCCGGUGGGCGGCGCGGAGGUGGCGCCUCUCCUCGUGUCGGGCGCGGCCUCCCCGGGGACCCCGCGCCGCGCCGGCCCCGGCCCCGCUGCCUCGCACAUCCUGGGGCCGCCAUCUGGGCCGCGCUGAUACCGUAAUCGCCCCGAUGCACGCCGCCGUCCCGCUCCCCCCGCGCCGGCGGGGCCGCGGAGGCGCGAUGCUCCGUCCUUGCGCCGCAGAUAAGCUGCGAGGCGCUUGAGGCGCACAAAGCCCGGCCGCGCCGGUGCCUCCUCCUCCUCCCUCCCGCCGCCGGAAGGUAAAAUCUCCACCCGCGGGCGGGAGAGGCGGAGAGGCGGGCUGGGGAACACUCCUCGCCGCCUCUCGCCGCCCGGCCCGGCUCCCUCGGCGCUGCACAAGUCGAUAGGCGCGGGGAGAAGUGAAGAUGUAACCACCUAUUAUCUUCCCCCGGAGCGGGCGGGGGAUUUACGGGCAGAGAUUAGCCGGUUACCUUAUCACUGAAGCAGAAUGGUAAUGGAUGGCAGCAGAGUACUUCAGAGGGGUUAAGGCUCUAUCAGUUAAGAAGCUGACACAUAGCAGGUUUCAGGAGUAUCUUUAAUUACACCUAGAGUUAUGUACAAGGGAAGAUGGUCCUGCUUACGUGCUGCUGCACUUCAGAGUUUACAGGCUCAGAAGCAGACAGGAUAAAAAGAAAAGAUUGAUCUCUGGGCUGGUGAACAUAGUAUCUGUCCCAGUCAGAAAAGGAAAGAGGAAAUUAGCAGAGCGAUUGGUGGAGAAUGAUAUCUGUCAAAAGAAACACUUGGAGAGCACUGAGUUUAGUGAUAGGUGACUGCCGGAAAAAAGGGAACUUUGAAUUUUGUCAAGGUAAGGAACGGAAAAAUAUUUGAUUUUAUUAUGUGCAUACCUUUUAGAAGUUAUUUUUAAUGAUUGUACCUUGCCUUGUAAACUGUAAUUAAAAAAGAAAUCUUUCCUUUUAGCCUCCAAAGAGUCUGCCUAAAUCAAUGAAGGUGCUGUCUUCGUUUUAAUAUCGCUGAGAAAGAGUACAGCAAUGCCAGUA